RNAcentral lists this long non-coding RNA (1191 nucleotides) under Mus musculus (house mouse). RNAcentral's name for it is "long non-coding RNA chr10:128444032-128445223". The record is from RNAcentral. Lineage: Eukaryota; Metazoa; Chordata; Mammalia; Rodentia; Muridae.
AAAGAAUAAGCAUCUACUGCAGUAAGGACAAAGCGUCGUCCUUUCCGUGGAGGAAGCGGUCCAAUGUAGCCACCCUGCCACCAAGUCGCAGCUGUAGCCAUGUCAGCUUUGGUGAGUGUCAGUGCAUGUGGUGGAGUCCAGACAGAACCUCUGCCACCAUGGCCUCCUUGUUCAUAUGCCCAGUGAGCAAUGACAGGCAUGUCGGGAAACAGCAGACCAUUCUCUACGUGAUGGUUGAAUGUCUUCUCUUCUGAAGUCACCUCUUCGGAUUUUUUGUUUUUGUUUGUUUGUUUGUUUGAGACAAGUAUCUUCACGUCCUUCACCCAUUUGGAGAGGAUAUUCCAGGUGGCAAGGGUAGACAGACACCUGCCGAAGGGGAGAGCUCCUCAGGUGAGGGAAACCGUGAGAAUCUGAGGCCUCAGAGUUCUCAGCCUCAGUUGGGUCCUCCCACACACCUCCAUCCCAAGUUACAGGAUCCCGGUCCUUAACAAUUAAACUAAUGCCCUUUAACUGCCAACACCCUCUGGGGCUGGGGCUUUUAUUUGUUAUUUUUUGUAAUUCAGCUAGCCGUAUAAUGAGUACUUCCUUUGAUUUCCUGCAACUUGAACUCCGUGGCUGCUGGAGAGAUUGCCUUCCUUCCAGGGCACACUUAGAAACCUUUUAGGCUGUCUAUGCACACAUGGGGUGCGGUCAAGUUCAUCACUAAGUUCAGUGUUGCUCUUUGCCGUAUUCUGAGAUGUUAGAAGUUGGUUAAUUUUUUAUCACAGAGUGCCUUCUUUUCCUUUGCCAGUUUAUUCAGAGAUAAGGAGCAACCAACUAGAAUCAUUUUUUCCUCCUCGCAAGUAGUCUAGAAGUUUUAUAUAGUCGCCAAAUCCAUUGUCUCUCACAAUUGGUAAAUCAGGAUAAUCAAAUGCAUUUGUCACCUUUGUCAAAUAGUUCACACCGCAGGCUUUCAUUACUCUCCUGGCUCCCAGGAGAGGCAUCAUCAGGUGGAGAGAUUUCGGUAACUGUAGGUGUUGGCAAAUUGGAAAGCCUAUUCCAGAUACCUAAGAAAAUUUAUCCGUCUAUUGCUCUAGAACCGCUUCUGGUACCAAAAUGUGUAUUAGGGUUCUCUAGAGUAACAGAACUAAGUGUUUUAUGUGUGUGUGUGUGUGUGUGUGUGUGUGUAAAGAGGAUGUAUUAAAGAGGCUC